AUUGAACGCUGGCGGCAGGCUUAACACAUGCAAGUCGAGCGGGGGAAGGUAGCUUGCUACCGGACCUAGCGGCGGACGGGUGAGUAAUGCUUAGGAAUCUGCCUAUUAGUGGGGGACAACAUCUCGAAAGGGAUGCUAAUACCGCAUACGGCCUACGGGAGAAAGCAGGGGAUCUUCGGACCUUGCGCUAAUAGAUGAGCCUAAGUCGGAUUAGCUAGUUGGUGGGGUAAAGGCCUACCAAGGCGACGAUCUUUAGCGGGUCUGAGAGGAUGAUCCGCCACACUGGGCCUGAGACACGGCCCAGACUCCUACGGGAGGCAGCAGUGGGGAAUAUUGGACAAUGGGGGGAACCCUGAUCCAGCCAUGCCGCGUGUGUGAAGAAGGCCUUAUGGUUGUAAAGCACUUUAAGCGAGGAGGAGGCUACUUUAGUUAAUACCUAGAGAUAGUGGACGUUACUCGCAGAAUAAGCACCGGCUAACUCUGUGCCAGCAGCCGCCGUAA
This 501-nucleotide ribosomal RNA is filed under the name uncultured bacterium. RNAcentral describes it as "partial 16S ribosomal RNA". It matches the Rfam family "Bacterial small subunit ribosomal RNA", at positions 30 to 523 of the family's 1533-position model. The record is from RNAcentral.